GAUACAGCUCAGUUGGUAGAGUGUUUGCCUCACAUGCGAAAGGCCCUGGGUUCAAUUCCCAGUAUC
This 66-nucleotide transfer RNA is filed under the name Ictidomys tridecemlineatus (thirteen-lined ground squirrel). RNAcentral's name for it is "Spermophilus tridecemlineatus (thirteen-lined ground squirrel) tRNA". It matches the Rfam family "tRNA". From Rfam's summary of the family: Transfer RNA (tRNA) molecules are approximately 80 nucleotides in length. Their secondary structure includes four short double-helical elements and three loops (D, anti-codon, and T loops). RNAcentral also lists the same sequence under 1 other name. Lineage: Eukaryota; Metazoa; Chordata; Mammalia; Rodentia; Sciuridae. The record is from Rfam by way of RNAcentral.